GGGACAUUACAGUUACUCUCAGCGGAAUUCACUGGAGAAGGCACAAGUUCAUGCACUGCACUGGCCUGCACCACGAUUAUAAGAGCUAGCCUAACGCUUCGAGGGUUUCUUUAGCCUUGCCGUCGCCUCGGCCACCAUUGACCCAGACUGUCGCUCUGUGGUUGCUUUUUUGCAUAGUACUAAAAAAAAGCAAAUCUGUGAUAUAUGGUGGAGUAAUGCAUGAAUGGAUAAAAAGAGUGAGAGGUUAUCAGCUGUUGAGGAGCAAAUGGAGAUCCGUGUCCAGGGGAGUGAGGCUAUUGCGAGUGUGAAAGGUUGUCCAGGAAGUAACUAAGAAGACAUGAACAGAGAGGUGGUGAUCCUCAGAGGAGCGAUGAAGUAGAGCAGCCAGCACCCCAAGUAGAGCAGGCACUGUGGAAAAAUAGUUGUGACUCAACCAGACCAUUACAAAGUAUGGCCUGGAGGAUUUUCAUCUCAAGGUGCAAGAACAUUCUUAAUGACUGUACACGGCGGCUGCUGAUGGACGAUGUUGGGCCAAAUGUGCUACAGUUAGCGUUAAGGAGGUUGGAGACUAUGCAGAGAAGCCUUCAGUGGGCAAGAGGAAGACUGAUCAAUGUAACUGCAGCAGAUCAACUUCUGCGUGACUUGGCUGAAUUGAUUCAGGAGGUCGAACUGUCUACUCAGCAUGGCCAACAAGGCUGUUUUGGAUACCAGGCACCAGUGGUUUUCAACAGAGGUAGAGGUAGAUCCCUUUACCUUAUCA
Molecule: long non-coding RNA, 760 nt
Organism: Oreochromis aureus
Lineage: Eukaryota; Metazoa; Chordata; Actinopteri; Cichliformes; Cichlidae
Source: Ensembl